ACGGAAUAGAUACCCAGAUAGUCCAUGCCGUAAACGAUGAGUGCUAAGUGUUAGGGGGUUUCCGCCCCUUAGUGCUGCAGCUAACGCAUUAAGCACUCCGCCUGGGGAGUACGACCGCAAGGUUGAAACUCAAAGGAAUUGACGGGGGCCCGCACAAGCGGUGGAGCAUGUGGUUUAAUUCGAAGCAACGCGAAGAACCUUACCAGGUCUUGACAUCCCAGUGACCACUCUAGAGAUAGAGUUUUCCCUUCGGGGACAUUGGUGACAGGUGGUGCAUGGUUGUCGUCAGCUUGUGUCGUGAGAUGUUGGGUUAAGUCCCGCAACGAGCGCAACCCUUAAUCUUAGUUGCCAUCAUUUAGUUGGGCACUCUAAGGUGACUGCCGGUGACAAACCGGAGGAAGGUGGGGAAGACGUCAAAUCAUCAUGCCCCUUAUGACCUGGGCUACACACGUGCUACAAUGGACGGUACAAAGAGUCGCUAACUCGCGAGAGCACGCUAAUCUCAUAAAACCCGUUCUCAGUUCGGAUUGUAGGCUGC
RNAcentral lists this ribosomal RNA (538 nucleotides) under uncultured bacterium. Its description in RNAcentral is "bacterial SSU rRNA". It matches the Rfam family "Bacterial small subunit ribosomal RNA", at positions 772 to 1308 of the family's 1533-position model. The record is from RNAcentral.